AUUAAAUAAACUUCAAUAAGAGGAGAAACACACACACAAGGGUCUGUUACCCCCACCCCACCUCUCAAUCUGGAUUGGCUACUAACUCUGCUAGGUGGUCACUUGUGGGGGUGACUUUCCCUCUGUGGGAUGUCUCUGCAUCCACCAAAAACAGUGGCGAUAAGCCCUUCGCUCUUUGUUUUCUUCACAGUUAAAUGUGGAUUCUUUGACACUGGGAUGUUGGGAAGAUUAAAUGAAGCAACAUGUAGGAAAAGUAAUGAGCACAGUUCUUGGUCAAUUGUGAUCUGACAUUUUCCUUUUAAACAAUUAGGGAACACUUGUUUAUAAGCCCUCCUGAAGCCAGGUCUAGACCUCAAUCCCUGUUGGCACAGCAACCCCUUGUUUAGCACUGGAGCGGGGGGCAGGUGUCACCAAGUUGGUUUGAACAGACAUGCUCAGGGAGGGAGCCGGAAACGCUUUAGCUCCACAGGUGACUCUACCCUGAAAUCAACUUGAAUCCAAGUGAUUCCAGAAUCACUGGUCUGGAACCAUAGCCAGACCAGUGAUUCUCAAGAUUCUGUUCACAGAUUUAGCCACAUUCCGAUUUAAUCCAAACUCUGAUGGUCACGGUUUACAGGAAAGAAUGUAAAACGCUGCUCCACGUCCUGAAGCUGCCAGCCCCUCCUGAGGUGCAGGAUGGGGUGGGACAGCUGAUGGCAAGGUGCUGGGAAGGCAGCCUCCCAGGAUGGAUCAAAUCAGGCUCAGAUUCUGGCUGGAAUCAGGGCCGGAACUGGGCCAUGGGAACCCAUCGGAGAUUCUGUAGAUCAGCCUCCCCUUUCACCAUAACCCUGUGAGCCAGCCGAGGUGUUCUACCUAGAUGUGGACCCCAACACGGUCACAGGUACCUUUUGUGGCCUGGGAAGCGGUGCCCUGUCACCACCCCAGUGCACUCGUCUAGGGUUCAGCAAUUCCAUGGGCCACCUGUGCUUCUAAAUGGCUUUGACAAGACACAGGUGGCUUCUCAAGGACAGACUGCUCUCAUUUAUGAGGGCCGACUCUUAUGAAGAAGAAAACUAUCUUUGGCCAUACUCAGGUGGUGGUUUUCUUGGAGGAGCACACCACUUUACUGAGUUACAUUGUAGUAACUCUCAGGGAAGGCAAACUGGGCCUAAGAAAUGAUUGUAAAGUUACCAGUUACGCAGACUCUGAAUACCCAAACUUAAAAAAAAAUGUGUGUUUCUCAGAUAAUUCUGUUACAUUAAUGUGAAACCAUGGCAGUAGAACUUGAAAUCUCAAUAAUGUCUUAUCAUAAUCCAAAGCCAGGGGCACAGAUUCAUGUAGCUACUGUAAGAAUGAUCAGGAAAUAACCUCAGGUUCAAAUAGGAAAGAUCCCGUUGGUAGGCAUGGGCGUUUGUCAGUGAAUAACAGCAGCAGGACUUGCUCAGGUCUCAGGAUGGUCUAAACACUUAGCAUGUGCACCAUUACACUGUGGGACAAUUGUACUUGAAAGUACAUGGGACAGGGGUCUUCAUCUGGGGGGUGAUCUGGUAACCUAGGGCUUACGAGCAUAAGGACACACAGCUGUGCUGGGUGUCCCUGGACUUACCCCAUCCUCACAGGCGGCAAACCUCAGGAGUGAAGAGAUACUGCUCUGCGUCAGCUGCAACAACAGAAGAGGGCUGGGUUCAAAAAUCCCGCUGCUGUGGAAAGAGCAACAGAUGCUCAGUAUCCCAGCCAGUGAGUCCAAGUGGCUCCAUGCAGUGGACAUGGGAUGCACAUGGGCUCCUGGAUCAGCUCCUACCUUGACCCUCACUGUCCACUGGGGUCGUGAGGGGCAGUCCAGAAAGACCUGGAGGUGUCUUUUCAGAAGAGGGCAAGCGACCACACGGCAGCAGACUGCACAGGAAAAGGUGCCUCUGUUGUUUGGAAACACACAGGGAAGGAGCUGCAAGGAACAGCCAAAAUCCACGUUAUGAAGAAAAUACACUGUUAGGUGGUGAUGUGCACCACAGCGUCUUGGUGCACAUCAAGAGGUGCGCUCCUUGCAGCUCAGUGGACUUGGCUUUGCUCUCAGAGCUCAUGCCUGGCCCUUGGUGCAGUGGAAGCUGGCCUGAGGCAGUAAGGCGGUAGGAAUCCGGGGCCUGGGGGUUGCUGUUGCCCUUGGGUCUUUCAGGCCAGUCACUGUCCCCUUACCUG
Molecule: long non-coding RNA, 2175 nt
Organism: Artibeus jamaicensis (Jamaican fruit-eating bat)
Lineage: Eukaryota; Metazoa; Chordata; Mammalia; Chiroptera; Phyllostomidae
Exons: 3
Source: RefSeq, a predicted model, not a curated record